GGUCCGUUGGUCAAGGGGUUAAGACACCGCCUUUUCACGGCGGUAACACGGGUUCGGAUCCCGUACGGACUA
RNAcentral lists this transfer RNA (72 nucleotides) under Streptococcus sp. RNAcentral's name for it is "tRNA-Glu". It matches the Rfam family "tRNA". Rfam says of the family: Transfer RNA (tRNA) molecules are approximately 80 nucleotides in length. Their secondary structure includes four short double-helical elements and three loops (D, anti-codon, and T loops). Lineage: Bacteria; Bacillati; Bacillota; Bacilli; Lactobacillales; Streptococcaceae. The record is from RNAcentral.